GAGGAAUAUUGGUCAAUGGGCGCAAGCCUGAACCAGCCAUGCCGCGUGCAGGAUGAAGCAUCUAUGGUGUGUAAACUGCUUUUGUACGGGAAGAAACACCUCUUCGUGAAGAGGCUUGACGGUACCGUAAGAAUAAGGAUCGGCUAACUCCGUGCCAGCAGCCGCGGUAAUACGGAGGAUCCAAGCGUUAUCCGGAAUCAUUGGGUUUAAAGGGUCCGUAGGCGGUUUUGUAAGUCAGUGGUGAAAUCCGGCAGCUCAACUGUCGAACUGCCAUUGAUACUGCAGGACUUGAAUUAUUGUGAAGUAACUAGAAUAUGUAGUGUAGCGGUGAAAUGCUUAGAUAUUACAUGGAAUACCAAUUGCGAAGGCAGGUUACUAACAAUACAUUGACGCUGAUGGACGAAAGCGUGGGGAGCGAAC
This 420-nucleotide ribosomal RNA is filed under the name uncultured bacterium. RNAcentral describes it as "bacterial SSU rRNA". It matches the Rfam family "Bacterial small subunit ribosomal RNA", at positions 356 to 773 of the family's 1533-position model. The record is from RNAcentral.